RNAcentral lists this ribosomal RNA (533 nucleotides) under uncultured archaeon. RNAcentral describes it as "bacterial SSU rRNA". It matches the Rfam family "Archaeal small subunit ribosomal RNA", at positions 462 to 997 of the family's 1478-position model. The record is from RNAcentral.
CAGCCGCGGUAACACCGGCAGCUCUAGUGGUAGCAAUUUUAUGGGCCUAAAGCGUCCGUAGCCGGUUUAAUAAGUCUCUGGUGAAAUCCUGCAGCUUAACUGUGGGAAUUGCUGGAGAUACUAUUAGACUUGAGACCGGGAGAGGUUAGAGGUACUCCCAGGGUAGAGGUGAAAUUCUGUAAUCCUGGGAGGACCGCCUGUUGCGAAGGCGUCUAACUGGAACGGUUCUGACGGUGAGGGACGAAAGUUAGGGGCGCGAACCGGAUUAGAUACCCGGGUAGUCCUAACUGUAAACGAUGCGGACUUGGUGUUGGGUGGCUUUGAGCUGCUUCAGUGCCGAAGGGAAGCUGUUAAGUCCGCCGCCUGGGAAGUACGGUCGCAAGACUGAAACUUAAGGAAUUGGCGGGGGAGCACCACAACGCGUGGAGCCUGCCGGUUUAAUUGGAUUCAACGCCGGACAUCUCACCAGAGGCGACAGCUGUAUGAUAGCCAGGUUGAUGACUUUGCUUGACUAGCUGAGAAGUGGUGCAUGG